Spinacia oleracea (spinach) is the source of this 323-nucleotide long non-coding RNA. RefSeq lists it as uncharacterized. Lineage: Eukaryota; Viridiplantae; Streptophyta; Magnoliopsida; Caryophyllales; Amaranthaceae. The transcript is spliced from 2 exons. The record is from RefSeq and is a predicted model, not a curated record.
CUCUAAACAACUAAAUGGUUCCUCUCUUCCUCACUCAUCAGUUCAUCUCAUCCUCUGCUCAACGGUUCAUUUUUCGUUCCUCUUCAUUCACUCGGAUCCGUCGUAAAUUUGAGGGUGAAUGUAGAAGGUGAUGAGAUUCCAUUGACAAAGUUGCCUCCGGUUGAGGCUCACCAGCCAUCCUCCUCCAACAAUUUAUAAUGUUCUUGUUUUAAAUUCAAGUUGUAAUUUGUGCCUUUGAGGCAACCUAAUUUGGUCUGUAAAACUAUUAAUACUUUCUGCAAACCUAUUAGGGUGUGCUAACUUUAAUGGCACCUUUAACUCAA